This 420-nucleotide ribosomal RNA is filed under the name Klebsiella pneumoniae. RNAcentral describes it as "bacterial SSU rRNA". It matches the Rfam family "Bacterial small subunit ribosomal RNA", at positions 613 to 1032 of the family's 1533-position model. The record is from RNAcentral. Lineage: Bacteria; Pseudomonadati; Pseudomonadota; Gammaproteobacteria; Enterobacterales; Enterobacteriaceae.
CCUGGGAACUGCAUUCGAAACUGGCAGGCUAGAGUCUUGUAGAGGGGGGGAGAAUUCCAGGUGUAGCGGUGAAAUGCGUAGAGAUCUGGAGGAAUACCGGUGGCGAAGGCGGCCCCCUGGACAAAGACUGACGCUCAGGUGCGAAAGCGUGGGGAGCAAACAGGAUUAGAUACCCUGGUAGUCCACGCCGUAAACGAUGUCGAUUUGGAGGUUGUGCCCUUGAGGCGUGGCUUCCGGAGCUAACGCGUUAAAUCGACCGCCUGGGGAGUACGGCCGCAAGGUUAAAACUCAAAUGAAUUGACGGGGGCCCGCACAAGCGGUGGAGCAUGUGGUUUAAUUCGAUGCAACGCGAAGAACCUUACCUGGUCUUGACAUCCACAGAACUUUCCAGAGAUGGAUUGGUGCCUUCGGGAACUGUGA